ACGAACGCUGGCGGCGUGCUUAACACAUGCGAGUCGAACGGAAAGGCCCUGCUUUUGUGGGGUUCUCGUGUGGCGAACGUGUGUGUCACGCGUGUGUAACCUGCCCUUGACUUUGUGAUCACUUCAGGAAACUGGGGCUAAUCCCGUAUAAGCGCUCCUGCUACGUUGUGGGGGUUGGAAAGUUUCGGCGGUUGGGGAUGGACUCGCGGCUUAUCAGCUUGUUGGUGGGGUAGUGGCUUACCAAGGCUUUGACGGGUAGCCGGCCUGAGAGGGUGACCGGCCACAUUGGGACUGAGAUACGGCCCAGACUCCUACGGGAGGCAGCAGUGGGGAAUAUUGCACAAUGGGCGGAAGCCUGAUGCAGCAACGCCGCGUGCGGGAUGACGGCCUUCGGGUUGUAAACCGCUUUCGCCUGUGACGAAGCGUGAGUGACGGUAAUGGGUAAAGAAGCACCGGCUAACUACGUG
RNAcentral lists this ribosomal RNA (467 nucleotides) under uncultured bacterium. RNAcentral's name for it is "partial 16S ribosomal RNA". It matches the Rfam family "Bacterial small subunit ribosomal RNA", at positions 29 to 507 of the family's 1533-position model. The record is from RNAcentral.